Molecule: long non-coding RNA, 1077 nt
Filed under: Lepisosteus oculatus (spotted gar)
Lineage: Eukaryota; Metazoa; Chordata; Actinopteri; Semionotiformes; Lepisosteidae
Description: lncRNA (ENSLOCG00000023216.1)
Source: RNAcentral
GGAAAUGUGAGCGUAACCCUUUCUAAUUUUCCCUCCACCAGCAACUGGGUACCGUAGCUAGUGAAGCCAGUGAAGUUCCUCAUUGGCUAUCUAAAACUAUCAUUUGAUGGCACGUUCAUCACAAGGUUCAUCCGAAACACUGCCAGGGAUGUCUCCUUCAUGAGCGGGCGAGACACUCUUGUUGCCCUUGGCGUGUGCGCUGGUGGUGAGAUCUGCUGCUGCGUCGGACUCGCAGUCCUCCUGUGGUGCCGUGGCCAGCCAUCCCCGUCUUCGCCCAUCUGCCCUACAGCCCUGUUCCCUGCCUGCCUGCCUUGCUCACCGCCUUUUGGAUCCACUGCCUCAACCCGCUGGCCACACUGCCUGACCCGUGUCCCGACCUGCCCCCGGGACUUGGCACUGGUUCCGGUCCUCGGUGAGGCGUGCCGUUCGGCCUGGUCCCUGGCGGGGUGCCUCUGCAGGUCCACCCUGACAGCACGUGGCUGGUUCAGCCCGGCUUCGGGAGCAGGCCAGUCGGAUAGCGAGCGCCCAGCUCAAGCCGGUCGUUGGAGCAGACCGACUUGACGGCUUGACACUAAUCUUGGCUCGGGUCCUCGCAUGCCCCGUCCCUGAUUCUUCUCCCUGUAUCCGGCCCUGAGAAGCAGAGACUCUGCCGCUGGACUGCGAAGCCCUUGCUCUUGGGUCCGUAACACCUCCUAGCCCACCCCCGCCAUCCAGGUGGGUGGAGCAGUGUAACAGUAUUACAAUAACAGUAUUACAAUAUCUUUAUGUUGCAAGGAAAGGAAAAAAAAUAUAUAUUUUUUUUAAAUAGUCUGCAGAGGCAACGAUUAAAUGAACUUGUAUGGUUUUUAAAAUAGUGCAAUGCUUGAUAUUUUUGUUUUUUAAUACAUGAACUACAUACAUGUAUUAGGUACUGUAUAAGCAAAAAUGUUAUAUAAUGUGAGUUGUAUAUACUAUUGAAAUGUAUUUCACAGUCUAGCUUAAGUUUGGUGGAACAUGCUGGCAAUAUAAAUAAAAAAAAUGUAUAUUGCUAAGCAUGUAUUUAAUAUGUACAUCCACGUCAUGUCAUGGAAUAUUAUU